GCUUACGGCCAUACACCCUGAACACGCCCGAUCGUCCGAUCUCGGAGCUAAGCAGGGUCGGGCCUGGUUAGUACUUGGAUGGGAGACCGCCUGGGAAUACCAGGUGCUGUAAGCU
This 115-nucleotide ribosomal RNA is filed under the name Larimichthys crocea (large yellow croaker). The record is from RNAcentral. Lineage: Eukaryota; Metazoa; Chordata; Actinopteri; Sciaenidae.